This 21-nucleotide microRNA is filed under the name Sorghum bicolor (sorghum). RNAcentral describes it as "sbi-miR6224a-3p". The record is from miRBase by way of RNAcentral. Lineage: Eukaryota; Viridiplantae; Streptophyta; Magnoliopsida; Poales; Poaceae.
CUUAUAUACUAGGACGGAGGG